CAGUCGAGCGGUAGCACAGAGAGCUUGCUCUCGGGUGACGAGCGGCGGACGGGUGAGUAAUGUCUGGGAAACUGCCUGAUGGAGGGGGAUAACUACUGGAAACGGUAGCUAAUACCGCAUAAUGUCGCAAGACCAAAGUGGGGGACCUUCGGGCCUCAUGCCAUCAGAUGUGCCCAGAUGGGAUUAGCUAGUAGGUGGGGUAACGGCUCACCUAGGCGACGAUCCCUAGCUGGUCUGAGAGGAUGACCAGCCACACUGGAACUGAGACACGGUCCAGACUCCUACGGGAGGCAGCAGUGGGGAAUAUUGCACAAUGGGCGCAAGCCUGAUGCAGCCAUGCCGCGUGUGUGAAGAAGGCCUUCGGGUUGUAAAGCACUUUCAGCGGGGAGGAAGGCGGUGAGGUUAAUAACCUUAUCGAUUGACGUUACCCGCAGAAGAAGCACCGGCUAACUCCGUGCCAGCAGCCGCGGUAAUACGGAGGGUGCAAGCGUUAAUCGGAAUUACUGGGCGUAAAGCGCACGCAGGCGGUCUGUCAAGUCGGAUGUGAAAUCCCCGGGCUCAACCUGGGAACUGCAUUCGAAACUGGCAGGCUAGAGUCUUGUAGAGGGGGGUAGAAUUCCAGGUGUAGCGGUGAAAUGCGUAGAGAUCUGGAGGAAUACCGGUGGCGAAGGCGGCCCCCUGGACAAAGACUGACGCUCA
RNAcentral lists this ribosomal RNA (699 nucleotides) under Klebsiella pneumoniae. RNAcentral's name for it is "bacterial SSU rRNA". It matches the Rfam family "Bacterial small subunit ribosomal RNA", at positions 59 to 749 of the family's 1533-position model. Lineage: Bacteria; Pseudomonadati; Pseudomonadota; Gammaproteobacteria; Enterobacterales; Enterobacteriaceae. The record is from RNAcentral.